AGCGGAAACGAGUUAUCUGAACCUUCGGGGGACGAUAACGGCGUCGAGCGGCGGACGGGUGAGUAAUGCCUAGGAAAUUGCCCUGAUGUGGGGGAUAACCAUUGGAAACGAUGGCUAAUACCGCAUAAUGCCUACGGGCCAAAGAGGGGGACCUUCGGGCCUCUCGCGUCAGGAUAUGCCUAGGUGGGAUUAGCUAGUUGGUGAGGUAAUGGCUCACCAAGGCGACGAUCCCUAGCUGGUCUGAGAGGAUGAUCAGCCACACUGGAACUGAGACACGGUCCAGACUCCUACGGGAGGCAGCAGUGGGGAAUAUUGCACAAUGGGCGCAAGCCUGAUGCAGCCAUGCCGCGUGUGUGAAGAAGGCCUUCGGGUUGUAAAGCACUUUCAGUCGUGAGGAAGGUAGUGUAGUUAAUAGCUGCAUUACUUGACGUUAGCGACAGAAGAAGCACCGGCUAACUCCGUGCCAGCAGCCGCGGUAAUACGGAGGGUGCGAGCGUUAAUCGGAAUUACUGGGCGUAAAGCGCAUGCAGGUGGUUUGUUAAGUCAGAUGUGAAAGCCCGGGGCUCAACCUCGGAAUAGCAUUUGAAACUGGCAGACUAGAGUACUGUAGAGGGGGGUAGAAUUUCAGGUGUAGCGGUGA
This 640-nucleotide ribosomal RNA is filed under the name Vibrio sp. RNAcentral's name for it is "bacterial SSU rRNA". It matches the Rfam family "Bacterial small subunit ribosomal RNA", at positions 65 to 684 of the family's 1533-position model. The record is from RNAcentral. Lineage: Bacteria; Pseudomonadati; Pseudomonadota; Gammaproteobacteria; Vibrionales; Vibrionaceae.